This 596-nucleotide ribosomal RNA is filed under the name Escherichia coli. RNAcentral's name for it is "partial 23S ribosomal RNA". It matches the Rfam family "Bacterial large subunit ribosomal RNA", at positions 584 to 1180 of the family's 2925-position model. Lineage: Bacteria; Pseudomonadati; Pseudomonadota; Gammaproteobacteria; Enterobacterales; Enterobacteriaceae. The record is from RNAcentral.
CUUAGGCGUGUGACUGCGUACCUUUUGUAUAAUGGGUCAGCGACUUAUAUUCUGUAGCAAGGUUAACCGAAUAGGGGAGCCGAAGGGAAACCGAGUCUUAACUGGGCGUUAAGUUGCAGGGUAUAGACCCGAAACCCGGUGAUCUAGCCAUGGGCAGGUUGAAGGUUGGGUAACACUAACUGGAGGACCGAACCGACUAAUGUUGAAAAAUUAGCGGAUGACUUGUGGCUGGGGGUGAAAGGCCAAUCAAACCGGGAGAUAGCUGGUUCUCCCCGAAAGCUAUUUAGGUAGCGCCUCGUGAAUUCAUCUCCGGGGGUAGAGCACUGUUUCGGCAAGGGGGUCAUCCCGACUUACCAACCCGAUGCAAACUGCGAAUACCGGAGAAUGUUAUCACGGGAGACACACGGCGGGUGCUAACGUCCGUCGUGAAGAGGGAAACAACCCAGACCGCCAGCUAAGGUCCCAAAGUCAUGGUUAAGUGGGAAACGAUGUGGGAAGGCCCAGACAGCCAGGAUGUUGGCUUAGAAGCAGCCAUCAUUUAAAGAAAGCGUAAUAGCUCACUGGUCGAGUCGGCCUGCGCGGAAGAUGUAACGGGG